AGAAUCAACGCUGGCGGCGUGCCUAACACAUGCAAGUCGAACGAGAAAGGGAUUUCGGUCCUGAGUAUAGUGGCGCACGGGUGAGUAACACGUGAAUAAUCUACCUCCGAGUGGGGAAUAACUGAGAGAAAUCUUAGCUAAUACCGCAUAACACUUACGAGUCAAAGCAGUAAUGCGCUUGGAGAGGAGUUCGCGGCAGAUUAGUUAGUUGGCGGGGUAAUGGCCCACCAAGACGAUGAUCUGUA
RNAcentral lists this ribosomal RNA (245 nucleotides) under uncultured bacterium. RNAcentral's name for it is "partial small subunit ribosomal RNA". It matches the Rfam family "Bacterial small subunit ribosomal RNA", at positions 26 to 285 of the family's 1533-position model. The record is from RNAcentral.